AACGAACGCUGGCGGCAGGCCUAAAACAUGCAAGUCGAACGAUGUAGCAAUACAUAGUGGCGCACGGGUGCGUAAUGUAUCGGAACGUGCCCAGUUGUGGGGGAUAACUGCUCGAAAGAGCAGCUAAUACCGCAUACGACCUGAGGGUGAAAGCGGGGGAUCGCAAGACCUCGCGCAAUUGGAGCGGCCGAUAUCAGAUUAGGUAGUUGGUGGGGUAAAGGCUCACCAAGCCAACGAUCUGUAGCUGGUCUGAGAGGACGACCAGCCACACUGGGACUGGGACACGGCCCAGCCUCCUACGGGAGGCAGCAGUGGGGAAUUUUGGACAAUGGACGCAAGUCUGAUCCAGCCAUGCCGCGUGCGGGAAGAAGGCCUUCGGGUUGUAAACCGCUUUUGUCAGGGAAGAAACGCUCUGGGUUAAUACCUCGGGGUAAUGACGGUACCUGAAGAAUAAGCACCGGCUAACUACGUGCCAGCAGCCGCAGUAA
This 488-nucleotide ribosomal RNA is filed under the name uncultured bacterium. RNAcentral describes it as "partial 16S ribosomal RNA". It matches the Rfam family "Bacterial small subunit ribosomal RNA", at positions 29 to 523 of the family's 1533-position model. The record is from RNAcentral.